RNAcentral lists this long non-coding RNA (1807 nucleotides) under Sus scrofa (pig). RNAcentral describes it as "lncRNA (ENSSSCG00035032021.1)". Lineage: Eukaryota; Metazoa; Chordata; Mammalia; Artiodactyla; Suidae. The record is from RNAcentral.
CGUCACUGUCUGGAAGGGACUUGCACAUGACACCCCAGUUGCUGGUUCAUCGCACACUGCCUUCCUAGGUCUCCUAGUUGGUCUCCUAGAUGGACAUGCAAUUAUUUUUGACCAAGCCAGAUUUCCGGAACCCCAGGCCAAAGGAUGGUUUUUGGAAUGAUCUUUAUUCUUUGGAGACCAGGAAACAUUUACAUCUAAAGGCAGGAACAAUUCCUACCAGACAGGUGGGGCGGGGAAGGAACCUGAUUCUCCACUUAGGACGGAGCCAUCAAGGUCUUAGGAAACCACAGGCCUGAGAAAGGGUACACAGGCUUAAUUUCUGAUCAAAAUAAGAUAAAAGUUCUGCUGGGAAUCUCACCAACAGCCCAACCUGAGUCAAAGGCUCUCAGUGCUGCUUUUGACCUUUCUGGUACCACAGAAAAAAGAUCUACAAGCUCUCUCUUUGCUGUUCUCUUGACAGUGAGGGAAGAGGGUGGAUUCCAGGCCCCUGGCUCUCUUCACCUCCAGUGGGGCAGGGACAAGUUCAUUUCCUUCUGCGUGUGUUCCUCUCAGGAAUUUCUGCUCAUCCCUUUGGAAGCAGACCCAGGUCCAGUCAAGGCCCAGCCUCUCAGCCGUCCGGCUUUGGUUGUACAAAUCAAGUGCAUUUGGCCCUGGAAGCAGCAUUUUAAAAAUCCAGAGUCUAGCAAAGGAGAGUGUGAGAAGGAAGAAGAAGAAGAAGAAGCCUCUCCUUUGGCCACUGAGUCCUCCUCAUUUGAAGUGGGGAUUCCUUGGAGGCCACACGUGGUUCAUUUCUCUGAAAAAUUAUGAUUUGCCAAACACAACUCCGGCCCGUUCCGAUGUGAUCAGUUGCUUGGGGCGCGGCCCAGGAACUGCUCUUUGGAGUCAAGAGUCAGAGAAAGCAUCAAAUCAAUACGGAGCUGUAAACGGGUCCCCAGCCCGUACCCCUUUGUUAUUUCUACUGGUUUGUUCUACAGACCCUUAAUUCUAUUAUCCAGCUUUAAUUUGGCUCUGUGUCUCUCCAACAUUUUUUUUUCUUUCUUCUGCGCCCUUUCUCUUUAAUCGAUUGAUUCAUCUGUAAUUGGAUUUUCUCUGGCUGUUACCAGCUAUUAAAAGUAGCUCUGCGUGUGUAUGUGAGUGAGUGUGCUUUCUAACUAGGCCACGGUUUCGAAUGCCUGGCAAUCCUGACUCUUGCUCAGGUUCCUUAGAACGAAUUCAAUUCCCUAAUUCCUUCUUAGGCAGUGGGGAGUCAGAGAGAGAACGCAGGCUUUAGAAGCAGAUAGCACCGCACCAUAUCGUGUUUGGUUCUGUUUGUUUAGUGUAAGGCGGACAUUUAUUGAGCUCAUAUUACUGGGCCAGGAGUCUUUCCAAGCACUUUACAAGCAUGAAUAACCCUCACUGCAUCCUUUUAAGGUAGGUACUGUUAUUAUUCCAUUUUACAGAUAAAAGGAUGGCAUCAGAGGAGGUUAAGGGACCCACCCAUGGUCUCACAAUAGCACUUGAUCAUGAUGCAGUUUUCCAAAAUUCUACCCCUUCAUACCUGAGUAAAUUGGGGGGGGGGGGGUUUGUUAUGUUUUUUUCUUUUUAGGGCCGCACCUGAGGCAUAUGGAAGUUCCCAGGCUAGGGGUUGAAUUGGAGUUGCAACGCUGCCCUACACCACAGCCACAGUGAGACCAGAUCUAAGCUGCAUUCACCACCUACACCUCAGCUUGUGGCAGUGCCAGAUCCUUAACCCACUAAGCAAGGCCAGGGAUCAAACCCGCAUCCUCAUGGAUACUAGUCGAAUUCUUAACCCUCUGAGCCACAACGG